UGGAAUGCCAGGCCGCCCCCUGAAGGCAGUAGGCAGGGCUCACAGCUGCAGCCCAGUUUUGGGCUAACCGGGAACAGGGGCUUGAGAAGGCCUGGAGGCGAAGUCAAAGAGAAGCACCUGCGCCCCGGUGAAGACACACUCGCCCAUCACCGGCUGGGAGGCAGCUUUCAGUAAGAUGGCAGGGCCAGAACUGUUGUUCGACUCCAACACCUGCCUUUGGAUGGUCCUACCCAUCGUUAUCACUUUCUUCGUAGGCAUGAUCCGCCACUACGUGUCCAUCCUACUGCAGAGUGACAAGAAGCUCACCCAGAAACAAGUAUAUGACAGGGAAGCUCUCCGCUGGCCCCCUCUUCAGCAUGCAGGCCACGGCCACGUGAUGCUUGGCACCCUCCUGUUACCUGCAGCAGCUCCUCGAUGCUACAGAGGAAGGGCCGACCCCCAAGGGCAAGGCCUCAUCCUCAUCCCGACCUGUCUGAGGAUACUUCAGUGAAAGCCUAAGCCCCUUGGAAGCUUUCCCCAGUGAAGGACUAGACUAGGGCCCCCACGCCUCAACUGGUAAGUGCCCACAAGCCUGGCAGCUGUAGAGCCGCUAACCCCCCACACCUCUCCACCACACACGGACCUGAGUGAGGCGGAGGGGCUGGAAACCUGG
RNA transcript from Cercocebus atys (sooty mangabey), 652 nucleotides. RefSeq lists it as uncharacterized. The record is from RefSeq and is a predicted model, not a curated record. NCBI's taxonomy places the organism in Eukaryota, Metazoa, Chordata, Mammalia, Primates, Cercopithecidae. The transcript is spliced from 2 exons.